Molecule: small RNA, 29 nt
Filed under: Bombyx mori (domestic silkworm)
Lineage: Eukaryota; Metazoa; Arthropoda; Insecta; Lepidoptera; Bombycidae
Description: ovarian small RNA-36074
Source: RNAcentral
UGUUCAAAGUAACAUUCAAUGCAUAGGGC